RNAcentral lists this ribosomal RNA (503 nucleotides) under uncultured bacterium. RNAcentral describes it as "partial 16S ribosomal RNA". It matches the Rfam family "Bacterial small subunit ribosomal RNA", at positions 30 to 523 of the family's 1533-position model. The record is from RNAcentral.
AUUGAACGCUGGCGGCAGGCUUAACACAUGCAAGUCGAGCGGGGUGAUGGUGCUUGCACUAUCACUUAGCGGCGGACGGGUGAGUAAUGCUUAGGAAUCUGCCUAUUAGUGGGGGACAACAUCUCGAAAGGGAUGCUAAUACCGCAUACGUCCUACGGGAGAAAGCAGGGGAUCACCUGUGACCUUGCGCUAAUAGAUGAGCCAAAGUCGGAUUAGCUAGUUGGUGGGGUAAAGGCCUACCAAGGCGACGACCUGUAGCGGGUCUGAGAGGAUGAUCCGCCACACUGGGGCUGAGACACGGCCCAGACUCCUACGGGAGGCAGCAGUGGGGAAUAUUGGACAAUGGGGGGAACCCUGAUCCAGCCAUGCCGCGUGUGUGAAGAAGGCCUUAUGGUUGUAGAGCACUUUAAGCGAGGAGGAGGCUCUUUUGGUUAAUACCCAAGAUGAGUGGACGUUACUCGCAGAAUAAGCACCGGCUAACUCUGUGCCAGCCGCCGCCGUAA